Non-coding RNA from Equus caballus (horse), 2369 nucleotides. Lineage: Eukaryota; Metazoa; Chordata; Mammalia; Perissodactyla; Equidae. The record is from RefSeq and is a predicted model, not a curated record.
GGGAGCAAACGGCAGGAUGACCAUGCCAGUUGCUCUGUCCCUUUUCCAAAGCUUUCCCAGAACUGUACCCAGAGACCCCACUCACAUCCCAGUGGCCAGACUGGAUCACAUGGCCAUUCCUACCUGCGAAGGAGGCUAAAAAAGGUGACCUUUCUAGUCUUCUGGCCUCUUCAAUAGAGGAAAGUAGAGAGAAGGGAGUUGUAAGUCUGCCCCUCCCCCACCCCGGGCGCUAAGAGAUGGGGGGUAACUCUGCAAAGCUGUCCUUCUGCCUCAAAGAUCAUUCCGCAGACACUGCUCUCUCCGUUAGAGUGUGCGGGGAAUAUUGGAAGAAAGGAAGGAUCCUUGCCCCUCCCCCAUUCACAGCAGAGCAGAACAGCAGGUUUGUCUGUUCAAAAACACAUGCCUUGGGAGUUGCUUCACUCGGGGUCAAACCUGUCUUCUCAGCAGCAAAGAUGAAGAAUUAGGAAAAACCUGGGAUUAAAAGGAGCAAGAGAGAACAUUGUCUUUAGAGGGAGUGGGCAAGAACGACCCAAGCUUCUAGGCUCUAAUCUGGGAGGCACAGAGGAUCGGGAAGGAUCUGAAAAACUGACACUGAACCUUCGCGAAGCAGAGAGAGAAGCUGGGGAGUUGGGAGGAGUCCACAGAAGUGAAAAGCUCCUGACCUCUGAGCCUCAGUCCCCACGUCCCUGAAAUAAGAAUAAGAACCAUACUUGCUCUGCCCAUUUCAAAGAGGUGGUGUGAGGAUUAAAGGAAAUGUCUUUUUUAAAUAUUUAGAUUUGAUGCCAUUUGCUGAUGAUAAUUGACAUGUGUGUGCUUGUGAAGAAAGUGAAAAGGACACGUUCCUGAACCACAGCAAUUUCGUGUAGCACAGUCAACGGAUAGAGGGCAAGAUGAUGGCCACUCUGUGUUUGCACCGUCCAGAUCGUAGAUGAGGGUGGAAACUUUAUUAUCUAUGCAACGAGGAAUGGAUGUUUAACUUGGAAAAGAGAGGAGAUAAGGACACCAAGGCACAGAGAGGUUAAGGAAACCCUACUAAGUCAAGCUAGUAAAUGGCGGAACCUGAACUUGAAUCCACGUGGUUGGAAAUCAGAGUCCAGUGCUUACACACAAUGCUGUGCAGCAUUUUCAUGGGCAUUUACAGGUGAGGAAAAUAAGGCACAGAACCAUGAGCCAUUGAACCAUGGUCACACUGCUAACAGUGAUGAAGCCAGAAUUGGAAGCUGUUGGAAACCAAUGAACAAUUAGGAGGACAAUUGUGGUUCAAUGUACAAAGACUUGUCUCACUGGGAAAGCCACCUAACAAAGAGAUGAGCAGCCCAGUGGGGUUCUGAGUCCCCUGUGCCCAGAAACAUCCAGGAAAAGAGAUGAAAAUACUAUCUUCUAAUGCAUCCAGCUUAGGAUUCCCCGUUCUAGGGAGACUCCCCUGCUUGGGUAGGGAUUUGAUGGCCCUGCUGCUUCCUCCCCUGGUCCUCCUCUGGUCAAGGACCUCAAACUGAAAGCAGGUUAUCUUGACAUGCCCACUACUAGCUGCUGUCAUUGACGUUUGAGUUUGUUUCUAAAGGUCCCAGAUGGUUUUUGACAAUUGAAUAGCCUUUGGCUGAACCAUCAAAGCUGGUUCACGCACAUGUGGUCCUCACGCACUCAUCUGCUCAUCCAUCUGACGCUUAUUGAGCAUCUAUGAAGAGCCAGGCACUGUCUAGGUGCUAAGGAUGCAGGAGGAAGAGGAUGCAGGCCCUCCAACAGAGGCUGCUGAUGCUCCGCUCGUGAUCCACCCACCCUGGAGGUCGCUGCAGACGGGUCCCAUCCGGGCCACGGCUUCCAGCCUCUCUGUGCCCCAGAGUGCUCUCUGACCACGGCGUGCAUGGCUCAUGAGAGGAAGGGAGUCAGUGGAUAAAUGCCCAGCUUCCGUGCUCUUCAGUGGGACAAUGGGAGGUGUUCUCCUUACAGACAGUCCAUGGCUCCCCAACAGAACCGAGCCCCAGUUCUUGAAUCCACAGCAGGAACAUCAUUAAUGCUCCCUCCUAUUGUCUCUCCUCUCCUCCCUGUCUCGCUUCCUCACUCACUCACCGUGCUUCUUGGGAUCAUUUCCUUAAAGAACUACUAUCACCCAAAUCCUUGUCUCAGGAUCUGCUUUUGGGGGAACCUGUCCUCAAGGGGCUUCCGACCUCCUAGUUGGGGCAUAUGUAUUGUUACUGAGGCUGCAGAUUCACUCGAAUAAACCUCACUGAGAAAACCAGAGGCGGCUUCCUUAGGAAAGACACGCGCACCGUGUGGCUCUCCCCCCAAGUGCCUUCAGGUCAGGAUUUAACGUGGAACAAAGACAUGGGGGACGCCUGCAGGGCAAGGCCAGGCCAGCGUACGCACCGUCC